CGGGAACUAUAUGCGGAGAAGAAAGGUUCCGCACUCCGCCUGCGUACCGCGGCGAGUGGAGAAAGGUUCCGGCCUCAGUCGGGAAGGCGGAAUCUCCACUCCAGACAGAGACGCUCAGUGUGUGUAUCCGCACCCGUUUCUUUUCGUUGCAGACUUAGGCGAGCUCAGACACUCGGAAACUUCCCGGUGCUUUUAGAACUGGGGUUCAAGUAACGGCAAGUAUCAUGAAGCCAGGAAGAUUGCUCCAUUACGAUUCUUUAGAAGGCGGGCUUUGGUUGACAGGUGGGAGGAAUACCACCUUUGUGACCUUUGGUGUCAAUGGUUCCCCUUGAGCAGCAAUGAACCAUCUGAGUCAGGAGCUAAGACAGGGUAAGUGUACAAGGAACAGAGUUAGAGGCCAGAGGCUUUUCUUCUCCAACCUUCAGCCCCCUUCAGUAAAGUGAAGCCAGUGUCUUUCUUGGAACGCACAGAGAAUUAAACAGAAGGCGCAUAUAAAACGUUUUCAUGUUUUUUGACUCUUAGCACAUGGCCAUUAGGCAUUGUCGUUGUUGAUAAUGUGGUUGCUCUCAGUCUUCUUACAAAUGAUGGGGAAAAGCUUAGAGCAGGCAUCCCAGCGCAGAGAUGAGGAGAGCUUGCAGGAACUUAUCAGUCACACCAAAGUGAAACAGACUGACCUUGAUCCUGGGUUAUGUUUCUCCUCAAUGUGUAGUGUUGAACAGUGCUCUCUUGAAUCAUAGUUAUCACAGAGAAAGAAGAGAGGGGAGUGGGAGAGAAUUGCUUAAAUUGACUAAAGUCAGCCAGUAAGAGUUUUCUAAAGGUUUGGCUCAUGUUCACUUUAUUUUUAUACACUUUUGACGAAAAUACAAUUAUACCACUUUCCCUCUUUCCCUUCCCUUUCCUCCCUCCAGCCCCCUCAAGUCCUCUCCAUCCAACUCCUUCCUUAUUCACCUAUUUAGUCUCAAAUUGAUAGCCUCUUCAUCCUGGAUUAUUAUUGUUACUUAUAUGUAGAAGUAUCAUGGAUAUCUAAGCCCAACGUGCCGAGUCUGUCUUUUGUUGUUUGUGUGUAUAUGGUUUCAAGGAUAAUCACUUUGUAAUGGACAGCCAAUUAGUGGGGCCAUCCCUGGGAUAGGCUAACUCCCCCUCUCUCAACAGUCAUAGUUGCCUAUAGCUCUGUAGAUUCUUGUCCAGGGUGACCCCGUGGUUCAGUUUUAAUUUGAUAUGGACUUUUCUGGUUUUCGUUUUCCUUAGAAAGGAAGCACACUGUGAUGUGUGCUAAAAUAGGGCUUUUAACAGUCAGCAAGAUGAAAAGCUAGUCUCAUACUAACCCUAGGAUCAUUUUGCCUUUACACUUGAACGUUCUAAUCAGUUGUAUGGUUGAGCUUUCCAGAGACACUGAUCUUACAAUAGGCUAAAUGCAGAGCAGCUGUCUUCCAUUAAGCCAGACUUAAAAGAGAAUUGCAAAAAAAUGCAAGUGCCAAUUCUUCUUAUUGAGUCCUUUAUUGUUUUGAAAACUAUUUCCUCUAUUAAAAUGUUUAUGUUAAUAUGUAAUAGAUGUACCCUGAUUAUUUUAGGUGGGUAAAUAUUUCUAAGUUGUCUAUUGUAAAUCAAAUAUAGUAACUAUCAAUAGAUAAAAAUUGAUACAAACAAAAAUUGUUUAAGACCAUGCAUAAUUUUGUAGGGAUAUAAAAUUUUUCCAAGAUCAAAUGUUUGAGAACCACAGUAUUAAGUACAUGUUUAGAAGAAAUAUAUGUCAAGGAAAUAUUCAUAUAACACAAAAGAAGUAAAAUAUUAUUUAACAUCCAGAGUAUAGCCACUUCAUCAUUACUGAAGAAAAGUGUCUAUUCAACUUGAGGAGGAGGAGGAUGCUUGUGUGAGUGUGUGUGUGGGUGUGCAUGCGUGCAUGGGAGGGAGGAGGAGGAAGAGAGAGAGAACAAAAGCUGUGCCAAUGAUUCUGCCUUUGCAUCUUACAUAAAUGGUGCUUUGUUUUAUGGAGACAUUAAUGAGUCUUUGGCUAUGCAAAGGUAAGCCUGGGGCAGAGUAAAUGGAAGGAGAAUUAAAUUGCCUUGCAUAACAAAGUGGAGGAGUUGAAUUAGGGAAAAGAAGAGAAAGCCAGAAUCUUGGAGGGAUCCAGGAAAUUAGAAAGUAGAUAAGUGGGAAAGGGUUUUAUAUAGGAGGGACACUGAGCUCCAUAAAAUAUUUUAGUGUGUGUGUGUGUCAUGCCUUGUAAGAGCCAUGUGUUUGGUGCAAUUUGGUGUGAGUAGAGAGGUGGGGAUGAGCCUCCAAGUUUUCUGGAUGAAUCUGUAAAAGCAGAGAAAGCUAUAGUGGAGGUGGGCCUCAUGUUCAUCCUCUGUUGAGCCUGCGGUCUCCAGACACUGGGGUUGGGCUGGCCAGCAACCAUAGGAUCACAUACUUGGUUUUCUUCUCUCUGAACAGCAGGAGGCUUGAGAUGUUAAUAGCUAACCAUGAAACAAUUGCCAGAGGAUGACUAACUGGAAGGGGAAACCCACACAAAGCACCAGAGACAGAAGGACUUGGGUUUGAAUCCCAACUAAAUCACCAGCUGUUUGGUUGGGCAGAUAUUUCCCCAAGCUCUCCCUGAAAAUGCAGGAGCACUGCCUUCCACCAUGAGUUCCCUGAGCAAGCACCAUCCCUAAACAUUCUUCACCCUUUCUGGAAGUUGCCAUCUGGUUGUGGAGCAGCACCCAUGGGUUCUCAUUUUCAAAUCUGUGGGAUCUGGUUAGAACACCACUUCUAAACAACUUGGCUUGGAACUUUUUGCUUUGGCCUUGAAAAGAGUACAUUCUGAUGAUUUUUUUUCUAAAGUUCCAUUAAAGUAAGGGCUUAGCCUCCAGUUUGGCACCGUUGGGAGGGAGUGUAAAGGGCUCUGGUGGGAGGUGUACAGGUUACUAGUGUUGUGCUUUUAAAGAGAAUACCAAUCUCUUCCUCUUUCCCUCUCUAAGAUGAUUGUAUCAGAUGUUUGUUAUAGUAACAGAAAGACUACCAAGACUCUUGUUGGUCAGCAGCCUUAAUUUCACAUGUUCAGAUAGUUGCAAAGUGGGACUCAGACAUCUUUGGGAGUGCCCUGAUUCUGCUGCAACAGAAAUGGGGGAAUGAUCAUCUGCUGGAAGAACCCACUCGUGUCUUCCCAGUUGUAGGUGAGGGGUGUUACUGCCAGGCCUCCAUCUCCCCCAACCAAUGGGUGGCGCUCAAGACAGAAGACUGACACAGCCCCUUGGGUCAAUGUCUGGAGUUAAAGGAAGCCCUUGGGGGCAUGCUCAGCCUCUGCAGUCUGGCCUGGCGGCCCAUGGAAAGGCUUUGCUCUCAGUGCUCGCUCUAAGCUGAGGCAUCCUUGAUACUUCUGGGACCUUCUGCUUGGGCCUGUUUGAGCCAGCUCUACAGUCGGAGCCCUUGAGCCACCCUAAGGAGACCAACUGUGGCGCUAGCCAGAUCAUUGCCUCAGGCCAUCUGCAGCUUGACAUUCCACAGAUGCCACGGUUGCUUAUGUAGGCUCCUCCAGUGACCAACAUCUCUCUUUGAAAUUUAUUAAGAAAUUCUCUGUAGGGCCUCUUUCACCAAAAGUGCAUUUAAUAAAGCUUGGAAUUUCCUCACAACACACAAUUUAGUUGAUAUAUUUUUAGGUCUCGGUUAUUACUCGGCUUCACUUUGCUUUGCAGGCUCGGGGCAGGCCAGCACAGCAGGACUGAAGAGGUUGUGGACAAUCUGAUUCUGGGUACCCAAGGCCUCAUGGGAAAGCAACUUUCUAGCCAUCAUUUAAGAAGCUUUUGAGUGAGCUGCCAACUUCCAUAAUUGUUCUUCCAAAAGGCAGGCAAAUUGCA
Alexandromys fortis (reed vole) is the source of this 3836-nucleotide long non-coding RNA. RefSeq lists it as uncharacterized. NCBI's taxonomy places the organism in Eukaryota, Metazoa, Chordata, Mammalia, Rodentia, Cricetidae. The record is from RefSeq and is a predicted model, not a curated record. The transcript has 3 exons.